GAUGAACGCUGGCGGCGUGCCUAAUACAUGCAAGUAGAACGCUGAAGGAGGAGCUUGCUUCUCUGGAUGAGUUGCGAACGGGUGAGUAACGCGUAGGUAACCUGCCUGGUAGUGGGGGAUAACUAUUGGAAACGAUAGCUAAUACCGCAUAAUAGCAGUUGUUGCAUGAUAACUGUUUGAAAGGUGCAAUUGCACCGCUACCAGAUGGACCUGCGUUGUAUUAGCUAGUUGGUGGGGUAACGGCUCACCAAGGCGACGAUACAUAGCCGACCUGAGAGGGUGAUCGGCCACACUGGGACUGAGACACGGCCCAGACUCCUACGGGAGGCAGCAGUAGGGAAUCUUCGGCAAUGGACGGAAGUCUGACCGAGCAACGCCGCGUGAGUGAAGAAGGUUUUCGGAUCGUAAAGCUCUGUUGUAAGAGAAGAACGAGUGUGAGAGUGGAAAGUUCACACUGUGACGGUAUCUUACCAGAAAGGGACGGCUAACUACGUG
This 495-nucleotide ribosomal RNA is filed under the name uncultured bacterium. RNAcentral's name for it is "partial 16S ribosomal RNA". It matches the Rfam family "Bacterial small subunit ribosomal RNA", at positions 28 to 507 of the family's 1533-position model. The record is from RNAcentral.